AUGUAGUGUAAUGGAUGGCGCGUUGGACUUCUAAUCCAAAGGUCGUGGGUUCGAAUCCUACCUGGAAUG
Molecule: non-coding RNA, 69 nt
Organism: Trichonephila inaurata madagascariensis
Lineage: Eukaryota; Metazoa; Arthropoda; Arachnida; Araneae; Nephilidae
Source: the annotation of a GenBank genome assembly